ACCCUUUAAUGUUUGAUGUUCUAACGUGGACCCGUUACCCGGGUUGCGGACAGUGUCUGGUGGGUAGUUUGACUGGGGCGGUCUCCUCCUAAAGAGUAACGGAGGAGCACGAAGGUUGGCUAAUCCUGGUCGGACAUCAGGAGGUUAGUGCAAUGGCAUAAGCCAGCUUGACUGCGAGCGUGACGGCGCGAGCAGGUGCGAAAGCAGGUCAUAGUGAUCCGGUGGUUCUGAAUGGAAGGGCCAUCGCUCAACGGAUAAAAGGUACUCCGGGGAUAACAGGCUGAUACCGCCCAAGAGUUCAUAUCGACGGCGGUGUUUGGCACCUCGAUGUCGGCUCAUCACAUCCUGGGGCUGAAGUAGGUCCCAAGGGUAUGGCUGUUCGCCAUUUAAAGUGGUACGCGAGCUGGGUUUAGAACGUCGUGAGACAGUUCGGUCCCUAUCUGCCGUGGGCGCUGGAGAACUGAGGGGGGCUGCUCCUAGUACGAGAGGACCGGAGUGGACGCAUCACUGGUGUUCGGGUUGUCAUGCCAAUGGCACUGCCCGGUAGCUAAAUGCGGAAGAGAUAAGUGCUGAAAGCAUCUAAGCACGAAACUUGCCCCGAGAUGAGUUCUCCCUGAGAC
Molecule: ribosomal RNA, 620 nt
Filed under: Salmonella enterica subsp. enterica serovar Enteritidis
Lineage: Bacteria; Pseudomonadati; Pseudomonadota; Gammaproteobacteria; Enterobacterales; Enterobacteriaceae
Description: partial 23S ribosomal RNA
Rfam family: Bacterial large subunit ribosomal RNA
Source: RNAcentral